RNAcentral lists this ribosomal RNA (596 nucleotides) under uncultured bacterium. Its description in RNAcentral is "bacterial SSU rRNA". It matches the Rfam family "Bacterial small subunit ribosomal RNA", at positions 124 to 737 of the family's 1533-position model. The record is from RNAcentral.
AUCUAUCCUAUACUGGGGGAUAGCCCGAUGAAAGUUGGAUUAAUACCGCAUAUAGCUAUAUAGUUGCAUGAUUAUGUAGUGAAAGAUUUAUUGGUAUAGGAGGAGUCUGCGGCACAUUAGCUAGUAGGUGAGGUAAAGGCUUACCUAGGCGACGAUGUGUAGCCGGUCUGAGAGGAUGAACGGCCACAAUGGAACUGAGACACGGUCCAUACUCCUACGGGAGGCAGCAGUGGGGAAUAUUGCACAAUGGGGGGAACCCUGAUGCAGCAACGCCGCGUGAGUGAAGAAGGUUUUCGGAUUGUAAAGCUCUGUUAGCAGGGAAGAGGAAGGACGGUACCUGCAGAGGAAGCCACGGCUAACUACGUGCCAGCAGCCGCGGUAAUACGUAGGUGGCAAGCGUUGUUCGGAAUAACUGGGCGUAAAGGAUGCGUAGGCGGUUAAACAAGUUAUAUGUUAAAUAUAUAGGCUUAACCUGUAGAAAGCAUAUAAAACUGUUUAACUAGAGUGCAGGAGAGGUAAGUGGAAUUCCUAGUGUAGCGGUGAAAUGCGUAGAGAUUAGGAAGAACACCAGUGGCGAAGGCGACUUACUGGACUGU